GUGUCAGCAGCCGCGGUAAUACGUAGGCAGCAAGCGUUGUUCGGAGUUACUGGGCGUAAAGAGUACGUAGGCGGUUUGCUAAGUCUGGUGUGAAAUCUCCUGGCUUAACUGGGAGGGUGCGCUAGAUACUGGCAGGCUUGAGUAUGGGAGAGGAGAGUGGAAUUCCUGGUGUAGCGGUGAAAUGCGUAGAUAUCAGGAGGAACGCCGGUGGUGUAGACGGCUCUCUGGACCAUUACUGACGCUGAGGUACGAAAGCGUGGGUAGCAAACAGGAUUAGAAACCCCCGUAGUCC
Molecule: ribosomal RNA, 292 nt
Filed under: uncultured bacterium
Lineage: Bacteria
Description: partial 16S ribosomal RNA
Rfam family: Bacterial small subunit ribosomal RNA
Source: RNAcentral